Passer domesticus (house sparrow) is the source of this 1339-nucleotide long non-coding RNA. RefSeq lists it as uncharacterized. NCBI's taxonomy places the organism in Eukaryota, Metazoa, Chordata, Aves, Passeriformes, Passeridae. The record is from RefSeq and is a predicted model, not a curated record. The transcript has 2 exons.
AUAUAUAUAAAAAUGGGACUUUUAGUAGAAUAUAUGCUUUUUUUUUUUCACCUUCCUGCCAAACUGGGUGCUCUCCCUUAAGCCUUUGCUAGGCAGGUUCCUUUAAUUAUCUCUAAUUGGUUUCAACUGUAUAAAUUCCAAUGGUAAAUCAAAGUAGAUCUGGCUAGUUUUGCAUGAACUAGUAAGUAUAAUUUGAAAGUUACUUUAGUUGUAAGAUGGGGAAGAAAAGGGAAACCCAUCUGAGGUUUUUUGUUUUGUUUCUAGAAACCAUUCUUAUCCUCCUUCUCUUACAACAUGUAGAUACCCCUCUAUUCAAACAGUAUCUAAAUGUAUGAGCAUUUGUAUAGGUUUUGAAGCAAAAGUAUCAAAAUCAAUGAUACCAUCUGCAUAAUUUUAAAUACAGUACCAGUGUAAGUACCAAUGGGAAGUCAGUUCAAACAGAAAUCUAGGAAUUUUUUAUUUGUUAUUUUUUAACAUGCCAAAACGAGAUAUAGGUUUUAAAGGUAUUUGUUUUAGAAGUUUUUGAAUUGGUCUCUUUGUGGGGAAGGGCUGGGCUUUUUGUUUUGUUUUUAAACAUGGGCUGACAUUUUUAGAAAAAAUAUAAACCCUAUUUCAUUGGCUCUAGACUUAAGGUUAUGUAAAUAUUAAAGGACAUAAGCAGAAGGGUGUGAUGCUGCAGGAGCAACUGAAGUCUGGUGCACUCAAAGGUUUGUCUGCAAUUUGGGAAACAGCCAAUAUAACCUUUGGCUAAUUUUGCAAGGCUAGCAAACACUGGUAUACUUAUCCACAGGAAAGCUUGCUGGCAAACUUGACUUUGUUAAAUGACUCUCCCUUUGUUUUGUUAUUAUUUAUUUUAAACGUAACUGUCUAGUCCUGCUCUCUAAAGCAUUCAUAAGCCCUUUCAUUGGAUCUGAGACAGGCAGGAUUUGCUGGUUGCAGGUCUGGGAUAAAAUUUGACGUGGAGGAUAUUAGAAAGUGUGUCACAGCCUUCUUCCUCUCUUGCAGACUGAGGUUUAUUUAUUUUUCUCCCUUCCUGCCUGCCUGCCUGCUGAAAACACCUGUUUGCUUGUGGCAUCUUGUCUCAGGAAGAAUCAGGAAGCCAAGACAUCCUUAAGCUGCUGGCUGCCUGUUUGGGGCACCUCUGGGCCAUUGCUCAUCUGUGAAAUUUUGGCAGUGGAAAGGGAAGCCAAUAUGAACUUGACUGGAUGUCAUACAGCCUCAUCCCAUCUUUAGCACAGAUCCAAAACCUCAGAGACACCUACAGAGAACAGGUGAGACAAGAACAUGCAGUGGCAGGGAAAACAGAGGUAUUUGCAGAAAUAAAGCAAAUUAUGAAAUG